This 611-nucleotide ribosomal RNA is filed under the name uncultured fungus. RNAcentral's name for it is "eukaryotic LSU rRNA". The stretch from base 48 to 201 matches the Rfam family "5.8S ribosomal RNA". Lineage: Eukaryota; Fungi. The record is from RNAcentral.
UAUACAAACAUUAAAGUAACAAACGUAGUCUUAUUAUAAUCUAAUAAAACUUUCAACAACGGAUCUCUUGGCUCUCGCAUCGAUGAAGAACGCAGCGAAAUGCGAUAAGUAAUGUGAAUUGCAGAAUUCAGUGAAUCAUCGAAUCUUUGAACGCACCUUGCGCUCUUUGGUAUUCCGAAGAGCAUGCCUGUUUGAGUGUCAUGAAAAUAUCAACCUUGACUUGGGUUUAGUGCUCUUGUCUUGGCUUGGAUUUGGCUGUUUGCCGCUCGAAAGAGUCGGCUCAGCUUAAAAGUAUUAGCUGGAUCUGUCUUUGAGACUUGGUUUGACUUGGCGUAAUAAGUUAUUUCGCUGAGGACAAUCUUCGGAUUGGCCGAGUUUCUGGGACGUUUGUCCGCUUUCUAAUACAAGUUCUAGCUUGCUAGACAUGACUUUUUUAUUAUCUGGCCUCAAAUCAGGUAGGACUACCCGCUGAACUUAAGCAUAUCAAUAAGCGGAGGAAAGGAUCAUUAGUGAAUUGAAUAUGUUAGCGGACCUCUUCGGAGUCCUAGCAUCAAUCAUAUCAUAACACCUGUGAACUGUAAGGCUGUCUUGAAAACGAAAGUGAUUAGAGC